GGUGUGAUGGCCGAGUGGUCUAAGGCGGUGGUCUUAAGCACCAUUAUCGAAAGAUGCGUGGGUUCGAACCCCACUCGCACCA
Molecule: non-coding RNA, 82 nt
Organism: Venturia effusa
Lineage: Eukaryota; Fungi; Ascomycota; Dothideomycetes; Venturiales; Venturiaceae
Source: the annotation of a GenBank genome assembly